AGUGCUGUAACUACAAGAAGUGGGAGAAUUCUAGUUGAGCCACAACUUAAGCAGCAGGACAAAGAAGAAAAGCCCGAUGAAGCCAAGGACGAUGCAAUUAGUGAGAAGUCACCAGAAUCCACCGAGCCUAGCUCUUCUAAGGUAAGUGGAAAACCUAAGGUUUCAAUUCCUCAAUCACUGAUUGCACCACCUUUUUCUGCUAGGCUGGCUCAGAACAAGAGAAUUGAAGAGGAAAAUGAUAUUCUAGAAAUUUUCAAGAAGGUAGAAAUAAACUUGCCCUUGCUUGAUGCAAUUAAGCAAGUUCCCAAGUACGCAAAGUUUUUGAAAGAGUUAUGCUCGAAGAAAAUGAAGUUUGGGAAUGAUGCGAGAAUUCGGGUGAGUGAGAAUGUUUCUGCUGUUCUUCAAAGAAAAUUACCCCAAAAGUGUCGAGAUCCUGGUAUGUUCACCAUUCCAUGCAUUAUAGGUAAUAAGACUGUUGAGAGAGCCAUGUUAGAUUUAGGAGCGUCCAUAAAUGUCAUGCCUUAUUCUGUGUAUAAGGAUUUGCAGUUAGGACCAUUGAAAGACACUCGUGUUAUCAUUCAGUUAGCUGAUAGGUCUACUGCAUAUCCCGAAGGUGUUGUUGAGGAUGUCCUUGUCAAGGUCAAUGAUUUGAUUUUUCCUGUGGAUUUUUAUAUUGUUGAUAUGGAUGAUUCUGCCUCUGCUAAGCAAUCUUUGAUUCUUUUAGGGAGACCAUUCAUGAAAACUGCUAAGGCAAAAAUUGAUGUGGAUAGUGGAAUGCUUAGCCUUGAAUUUGAUGGAGAUGUUGUCACAUUUAAUAUUUUUUAGGCUAUGAAGCAUGUUGAGGNCUGAGCCACACCUAAGCAGCAGGACAAAGAAAAGCCCGAUGAAGCCAAGGACGAUGCAAUUAGUGAGAAGUCACCAGAAUCCACCGAGCCUAUCUCUUACUAAGGUAAGUGGAAAACCUAAGGUUUCAAUUCCUCAAUCACUGAUUGCACCACCUUUUCCUUCUAGGUUGGCUCAGAACAAG
This 1027-nucleotide long non-coding RNA is filed under the name Salvia miltiorrhiza (redroot sage). RNAcentral's name for it is "long non-coding RNA (SMIL_LNC011027)". Lineage: Eukaryota; Viridiplantae; Streptophyta; Magnoliopsida; Lamiales; Lamiaceae. The record is from RNAcentral.